This 462-nucleotide ribosomal RNA is filed under the name uncultured Eubacteriales bacterium. RNAcentral's name for it is "bacterial SSU rRNA". It matches the Rfam family "Bacterial small subunit ribosomal RNA", at positions 54 to 515 of the family's 1533-position model. Lineage: Bacteria; Bacillati; Bacillota; Clostridia; Eubacteriales. The record is from RNAcentral.
CAUGCAAGUCGAGCGAUGAAACUUUAACAGAACCCUUCGGGGCGAAGAUAAGUGGAUUAGCGGCGGACGGGUGAGUAACACGUGAGUAACCUGCCUUAGACAUUGGGAUAGCCUCGGGAAACCAGGAUUAAUACCAAAUAAAAUUAUAAUGACACAUGUCAUAACGAUCAAAACUCCGGUGGUCUAAGAUGGACUCGCGUCCCAUUAGCUAGUUGGUGGAGUAAAAGCCUACCAAGGCGACGAUGGGUAGCCGGCCUGAGAGGGUGAACGGCCACAUUGGAACUGAGAAACGGUCCAAACUCCUACGGGAGGCAGCAGUGGGGAAUAUUGCACAAGUGGAGGGAACUCUGAUGCAGCGACGCCGCGUGAACGAAGAAGGCUUUCGAGUCGUAAAGUUCUUGUAUAUGGGAAGAUAAUGACGGUACCAUAAGAAAAAGCCCCGGCUAACUACGUGCCAGCAGC